AUUGAACGCUGGCGGCAGGCCUAACACAUGCAAGUCGAACGGUAACAGGAAGAAGCUUGCUUCUUUGCUGACGAGUGGCGGACGGGUGAGUAAUGUCUGGGUAACUGCCUGAUGGAGGGGGAUAACUACUGGAAACGGUAGCUAAUACCGCAUAACGUCGCAAGACCAAAGAGGGGGACCUUCGGGCCUCUUGCCAUCGGAUGUGCCCAGAUGGGAUUAGCUAGUAGGUGGGGUAACGGCUCACCUAGGCGACGAUCCCUAGCUGGUCUGAGAGGAUGACCAGCCACACUGGAACUGAGACACGGUCCAGACUCCUACGGGAGGCAGCAGUGGGGAAUAUUGCACAAAGGGCGCAAGCCUGAUGCAGCCAUGCCGCGUGUAUGAAGAAGGCCUUCGGGUUGUAAAGUACUUUCAGCGGGGAGGAAGGGAGUAAAGUUAAUACCUUUGCUCAUUGACGUUACCCGCAGAAGAAGCACCGGCUAACUCCGUG
RNAcentral lists this ribosomal RNA (490 nucleotides) under uncultured bacterium. RNAcentral's name for it is "partial 16S ribosomal RNA". It matches the Rfam family "Bacterial small subunit ribosomal RNA", at positions 30 to 507 of the family's 1533-position model. The record is from RNAcentral.